UUAAAUUGAAGAGUUUGAUCAUGGCUCAGAUUGAACGCUGGCGGCAGGCCUAACACAUGCAAGUCGAACGGUAACAGGAAGCAGCUUGCUGCUUCGCUGACGAGUGGCGGACGGGUGAGUAAUGUCUGGGAAACUGCCUGAUGGAGGGGGAUAACUACUGGAAACGGUGGCUAAUACCGCAUAACGUCGCAAGACCAAAGAGGGGGACCUUCGGGCCUCUUGCCAUCAGAUGUGCCCAGAUGGGAUUAGCUAGUUGGUGAGGUAACGGCUCACCAAGGCGACGAUCCCUAGCUGGUCUGAGAGGAUGACCAGCCACACUGGAACUGAGACACGGUCCAGACUCCUACGGGAGGCAGCAGUGGGGAAUAUUGCACAAUGGGCGCAAGCCUGAUGCAGCCAUGCCGCGUGUAUGAAGAAGGCCUUCGGGUUGUAAAGUACUUUCAGCGGGGAGGAAGGUGUUGCGGUUAAUAACCGCAGCAAUUGACGUUACCCGCAGAAGAAGCACCGGCUAACUCCGUGCCAGCAGCCGCGGUAAUACGGAGGGUGCAAGCGUUAAUCGGAAUUACUGGGCGUAAAGCGCACGCAGGCGGUCUGUCAAGUCGGAUGUGAAAUCCCCGGGCUCAACCUGGGAACUGCAUUCGAAACUGGCAGGCUUGAGUCUUGUAGAGGGGGGUAGAAUUCCAGGUGUAGCGGUGAAAUGCGUAGAGAUCUGGAGGAAUACCGGUGGCGAAGGCGGCCCCCUGGACAAAGACUGACGCUCAGGUGCGAAAGCGUGGGGAGCAAACAGGAUUAGAUACCCUGGUAGUCCACGCCGUAAACGAUGUCUACUUGGAGGUUGUGCCCUUGAGGCGUGGCUUCCGGAGCUAACGCGUUAAGUAGACCGCCUGGGGAGUACGGCCGCAAGGUUAAAACUCAAAUGAAUUGACGGGGGCCCGCACAAGCGGUGGAGCAUGUGGUUUAAUUCGAUGCAACGCGAAGAACCUUACCUGGUCUUGACAUCCACAGAACUUUCCAGAGAUGGAUUGGUGCCUUCGGGAACUGUGAGACAGGUGCUGCAUGGCUGUCGUCAGCUCGUGUUGUGAAAUGUUGGGUUAAGUCCCGCAACGAGCGCAACCCUUAUCCUUUGUUGCCAGCGAUUAGGUCGGGAACUCAAAGGAGACUGCCAGUGAUAAACUGGAGGAAGGUGGGGAUGACGUCAAGUCAUCAUGGCCCUUACGACCAGGGCUACACACGUGCUACAAUGGCGCAUACAAAGAGAAGCGACCUCGCGAGAGCAAGCGGACCUCAUAAAGUGCGUCGUAGUCCGGAUUGGAGUCUGCAACUCGACUCCAUGAAGUCGGAAUCGCUAGUAAUCGUGGAUCAGAAUGCCACGGUGAAUACGUUCCCGGGCCUUGUACACACCGCCCGUCACACCAUGGGAGUGGGUUGCAAAAGAAGUAGGUAGCUUAACCUUCGGGAGGGCGCUUACCACUUUGUGAUUCAUGACUGGGGUGAAGUCGUAACAAGGUAACCGUAGGGGAACCUGCGGUUGGAUCACCUCCUUACCUUAAAGAAGC
This 1556-nucleotide ribosomal RNA is filed under the name Salmonella enterica subsp. enterica serovar Newport. Its description in RNAcentral is "bacterial SSU rRNA". It matches the Rfam family "Bacterial small subunit ribosomal RNA". The record is from RNAcentral. RNAcentral also lists the same sequence under 2 other names. Lineage: Bacteria; Pseudomonadati; Pseudomonadota; Gammaproteobacteria; Enterobacterales; Enterobacteriaceae.